AAAUUGAAGAGUUUGAUCAUGGCUCAGAUUGAACGCUGGCGGCAGGCCUAACACAUGCAAGUCGAACGGUAACAGGAAGCAGCUUGCUGCUUUGCUGACGAGUGGCGGACGGGUGAGUAAUGUCUGGGAAACUGCCUGAUGGAGGGGGAUAACUACUGGAAACGGUAGCUAAUACCGCAUAACGUCGCAAGACCAAAGAGGGGGACCUUAGGGCCUCUUGCCAUCGGAUGUGCCCAGAUGGGAUUAGCUAGUAGGUGGGGUAAAGGCUCACCUAGGCGACGAUCCCUAGCUGGUCUGAGAGGAUGACCAGCCACACUGGAACUGAGACACGGUCCAG
This 337-nucleotide ribosomal RNA is filed under the name Escherichia coli. RNAcentral describes it as "bacterial SSU rRNA". It matches the Rfam family "Bacterial small subunit ribosomal RNA", at positions 1 to 334 of the family's 1533-position model. Lineage: Bacteria; Pseudomonadati; Pseudomonadota; Gammaproteobacteria; Enterobacterales; Enterobacteriaceae. The record is from RNAcentral.